Molecule: long non-coding RNA, 533 nt
Organism: Panicum virgatum (switchgrass)
Lineage: Eukaryota; Viridiplantae; Streptophyta; Magnoliopsida; Poales; Poaceae
Exons: 2
Source: RefSeq, a predicted model, not a curated record
CCAGCGCUUUUAAGUUCAACCGAACGGGCUGUCAGCUCUCGUGCAACUGCAACUAUGUGGGAUGAGCCAUCAUAGAUCCAUCACCAGCCGCCACAUUUCUACACCUCGCCACCGGAGCAAGAGCAAGCGAAUGCCGAGGAGCCAGGCAAAUCUGCGGCGACCUUAGCUGCCGAUACGGGUCGGCGGCAGGAGAAUCUCCGAUGCCAACCUCCAUUCGCUGGUGGCUACCUGUGUGUGGAUGUGUGUGAUUCUUCAACCAAGCUGGCCAAGUGAGCUCCGUGGAAUGUCAAUGUAGAUGCAAAGAUUAUGAAGGCUUGACAGAAUGACAGAUUGACAGAUGCCGAGAAUGCCCCCCAUUUUUCUUUAGAAUCUUUGGCUUUUAGUGUUCUUUCUUUGUGGUCCGGUUUGGCAAUUGCUGUCUUGAUUUCUUAACUGCAACGUGAUUUACUUAAGUUUUUGUGAUUUCUUUUUUGGGUUGUAAAUCAAAUGGGGCUGUGAAGGGUUUUGUUAUUAGUUUAUUACACAUGCUAUCA